CCUACGGGUGGCAGCAGUGGGGAAUAUUGGGCAAUGGGCGCAAGCCUGACCCAGCAACGCCGCGUGAAGGAAGAAGGCUUUCGGGUUGUAAACUUCUAUUCUGAGGGACGAAGAAAGUGACGGUACCUCAGGAAUAAGCCACGGCUAACUACGGACCAGCGGCCGCGGUAUAAGGUAGGUGGCAAAGGUUAUCCGGUUUUAUUGGGUGUAAAGGGCGGGUAGGCGGGAAAGCAAGUCAGAUGUGAAAACUCAGGGCUCAACCCUGAGCCUGCAUUUGAAACUGUUUUUCUUGAGUGCUGGAGAGGCAAUCGGAAUUCCGUGUGUAGCGGUGAAAUGCGUAGAUAUACGGAGGAACACCAGUGGCGAAGGCGGAUUGCUGGACAGUAACUGACGCUGAGGCGCGAAAGCGUGGGGAGCAAACAGGAUUAGAUACCCCUGUAGUC
Molecule: ribosomal RNA, 443 nt
Filed under: uncultured bacterium
Lineage: Bacteria
Description: partial 16S ribosomal RNA
Rfam family: Bacterial small subunit ribosomal RNA
Source: RNAcentral